RNAcentral lists this ribosomal RNA (500 nucleotides) under uncultured bacterium. RNAcentral's name for it is "partial 16S ribosomal RNA". It matches the Rfam family "Bacterial small subunit ribosomal RNA", at positions 30 to 523 of the family's 1533-position model. The record is from RNAcentral.
AUUGAACGCUGGCGGCAUGCCUUACACAUGCAAGUCGAACGGAUUCAAGGGGCUUGCUCCUUGAGUUAGUGGCGAACGGGUGAGUAAUGCAUCGGAACGUACCCAGUUGUGGGGGAUAACGUAGCGAAAGUUACGCUAAUACCGCAUACGACCUGAGGGUGAAAGCGGGGGAUCGCAAGACCUCGCGCAAUUGGAGCGGCCGAUGUCAGAUUAGCUAGUUGGUAGGGUAAAAGCCUACCAAGGCGACGAUCUGUAGCUGGUCUGAGAGGACGACCAGCCACACUGGGACUGAGACACGGCCCAGACUCCUACGGGAGGCAGCAGUGGGGAAUUUUGGACAAUGGGGGAAACCCUGAUCCAGCCAUGCCGCGUGAGUGAAGAAGGCCUUCGGGUUGUAAAGCUCUUUCGGACAGAAAGAAAUCUUCUGGGCUAAUACCCUGAGAGGAUGACGGUACUGUAAGAAGAAGCACCGGCUAACUACGUGCCAGCAGCCGCCGUAA